This 3038-nucleotide long non-coding RNA is filed under the name Capsella rubella. RNAcentral's name for it is "long non-coding RNA (CRUB_LNC001766)". The record is from RNAcentral. Lineage: Eukaryota; Viridiplantae; Streptophyta; Magnoliopsida; Brassicales; Brassicaceae.
GAGAUGCAGAUGUGAGAAAAGGGCCAUGGACCAUGGAAGAAGAUUUGAUUCUCAUCAAUUAUAUUGCCAAUCAUGGUGAAGGUGUUUGGAACUCUCUCGCCAAAUCUGCAGGUCAAAAUUCUUAUAUAUAAAUAUCACAAUAUUCUACUUUAUCACCAAUUAUUUGUGUGUGUAUGUGUUGAUGAACUAGGGUUUUGAUUUUCACAUGCGAAAUAUAUGUUUAGAUAGAAAAUUUAUAUUGAUCUAAAUCUAUAUGAACUAGGAAUUUUUCUCAUAUAUUAAAAUCAUAAUAUAUAUAUAUAUAUAUAUGUGUAUAUGUGUGUGUGUGUGUGUGUGUGUAAGCAAAGACUAUCUCAAACUAUUUGAAAUCCAUGGAUAAUAUAAAUUUGUAGCAAAGUCUCCCAAAUUUGUGCACAUAUCAGUAAAGCCAAUAAGAUGAUAAAAUUUUGAAUCCAGAUCUUAAUGGAAUGCAUCAAUCGAAUAAAAUCAUCCGAUCCCUUUAAAAUCUCUGUUAUAUUGUAUGUACAUAAUUUUGGAAAUGAUUAUAUUGGUUGUGGAGAAACAAAAAUAUUAAUCUUGUGCCUGUCUAUAACGAAAAAAAUCAUUUAUGUGUACAUUUUUUCGAUUUAUGUUUACCAGUUUUAAUAUAUCUUACUAACACUAUUGUGUUACACAGAUCGACAUGACCUUGUAAUUUGAUCGAACCUCUUUUAUUUAUACGAGAUCGCUUUAACUACAAAAGGUCUUGUUUGGAACUUGUUCCUAACUGCAAUGGUUAGCUAGGGUUUUUAAAACUUGAUAUUUCUUCUUACACUCUCAAUCACAACAACAGAUUUAUCCCAAAAUAACUCAAUGCAAAACACUUCUUAUUUAUUAGCAACGUUUUUAGACCUGACCUAGCCUGUCCGGUUAUAAUUGUUACCCGUAAGCGAAUAAAACUUAUGUUAGGGUUUAAAAAUCGAAUAAUACUAAAACACAAUAACAGACAAGAAAAGAAAAGAAAAUGAUAUUACCAGUGAAUAGAACAAAUACGAUAUAUGUAAUAUAUAUAUACACAUGCAUGCACACAAACGAUAUUUUCUAUUUCUUCAUAAUUUAUUAAUGUAACUAUAAUUCUAUGUAAUAUAUAGGUCUAAAACGCACCGGAAAAAGUUGCCGGCUCCGGUGGCUGAACUACCUCCGACCAGAUGUGCGACGGGGAAAUAUCACAGCAGAAGAACAGCUCAUCAUCAUGGAACUUCAUGCCAAAUGGGGAAAUAGGUUAGUAAUGUGUUUAUACAUACAAAAAUUCUAAAAGUACGUACAAUAUAUAAGGUUAUAUAUAUACGAACGAAGCGAAGCUAGGUUUUCGAAUUGGUUAUAUACAUAGACAUCAAAGCUAUUAAAUUUAUAGACAUCAAAACUAUAAGUUCUCGAACUAUGAAUCGGUUUCAUAUAAAGACUGAAAGGAUCUUUAAAAAGACAUCAAAGCAAGACAUUAGGUGACGAAGCCAAACAUAUUGGUGGGUAUGACAAAACUUACAACUCUUUUUCUCAGCCAUUUGUUUGAGUUUUCCACACGUGUCGAAAAUUUCUUCACCAUUAACAUUAAACCUCGUGCCUAUUCUGGAUUCUGGUUGUAAUUCUCUAUACGACCAUGUACAAAGACAUGUACCAAAUAUACUAUAUACAUCUCUUUUGUCAACACGAAAUACUUAUAUAUUGGGAACUGUAUGUACAAGCAUAAAAGAGAUGUAUACCGAAAGUUAGAUAUUCCAUUAUAUAUGGUCUUAUAAUUGAAAUUCACACCAUACCAUAUAACAGUAGAUGUAGCUGUUUCCUUGCAGCCACAGCUUUGAUCUAACUUCAAUAUAGUCAUUUGUUAUAUCUUAAUUAACAUACGUAUGCAUAAUUAAUAAAUCUUGAUGAUAAAUUAUAUAUUCUUGACUAUGUCAGGUGGUCGAAAAUAGCAAAGCAUUUACCGGGAAGAACCGACAACGAGAUAAAGAAUUUUUGGAGGACCAAGAUCCAGAAAUACAUAAUCAAGAACGGAGAAACGACGACGACCGCUGGAUUGCAAAGCUCUGAGAUCAUGAACCAUCAUGUGACAAGUACAAGCAAAGUCUUGAAUGAUACUCUAGAAGAACCCAUGGAUUUGUACUCUCCAACGACGUCGUAUCAAUAUGCCAACAAUAUCGAUCAUCUUCAGCUUAGUUACGGCACUUAUGUGCCUGAGUCAGAUUCGAUCAUGAUGCCAUUAUCAAUUGAUCAAGACGUACAAAACUAUUGGAGCGUCGAUGAUCUUUGGCCCAUGCAUUUAUAUAAUGGUAAUUAAUUAAUAAUUAAGUAUUUAAAGGGUCCAAAACUAAGAGGGGUAUACAUAUUUUAUAUACAACUAUAUGAGUAACUAAACGUCGAUCCUUAAUAUAAAUUAAAGUUAUAAACAGAUAUUAAGUGUACUGUAUGUAUGGUUUUGCCUCAUUGUUUAGAGGUAGCUAGGUACUCAUCAAGAUAUUCGACGUUAUACCUAAAUAAAACUACGGAAUGGAUCAUAUACGUACGUAUUUUGAAAUCUGUUCAGUGCUAUAUUGUUGAUGUAUAAGAACACCCUUCAAUAUUAUGUUUUGUAUCAACAUACAACGUUUAUUUUUUACGCUCUCUGUGAUUUUUGUUCAAUUAAGUGAUGAAUAUAUAUAAUCGGGAGUUCAAUAUGUUACCGCCGGAUAGUUUUAUUUAUUCUUAUGUUAGAAGAUAAGUUAUGGAAAUAAUUUUUUUUGAGCUAGUGUAUUCUUGUCAAUAAUAUGUAGUAUGUAUGUUAAUACGACUAACGAUACAACGACAAAACUACUACAAACAAUUAUGUACAUAUGGAGAAAUAAAAAAAUGUAGUUACGUUAUUUCUAUUGCAACCACUUUAUGGAGAUAUUUGUCUAAUUUUGAAAAACUUUACAAGCUAUUAUAAAGAGAAAAAGGGAAACAAAAUUAGGGAAUGAUAAUCUAGGUUGCAUGGAAACGGAAACGCAUACGCGGAAACGAAACGUUUCGGAAACGGGAAACGA